Molecule: transfer RNA, 72 nt
Filed under: Araneus ventricosus
Lineage: Eukaryota; Metazoa; Arthropoda; Arachnida; Araneae; Araneidae
Rfam family: tRNA
About the family: Transfer RNA (tRNA) molecules are approximately 80 nucleotides in length. Their secondary structure includes four short double-helical elements and three loops (D, anti-codon, and T loops). Further hydrogen bonds mediate the characteristic L-shaped molecular structure. tRNAs have two regions of fundamental functional importance: the anti-codon, which is responsible for specific mRNA codon recognition, and the 3' end, to which the tRNAs corresponding amino acid is attached (by aminoacyl-tRNA synthetases). tRNAs cope with the degeneracy of the genetic code in two manners: having more than one tRNA (with a specific anti-codon) for a particular amino acid; and 'wobble' base-pairing, i.e. permitting non-standard base-pairing at the 3rd anti-codon position.
Source: Rfam by way of RNAcentral
GACUCGGUGGCGCAACGGUAGCGCGUCUGACUCCAUGUCAGAAGGCUGCGUGUUCAAAUCACAUCCAGGUCU